This 484-nucleotide ribosomal RNA is filed under the name uncultured bacterium. RNAcentral describes it as "partial 16S ribosomal RNA". It matches the Rfam family "Bacterial small subunit ribosomal RNA", at positions 30 to 507 of the family's 1533-position model. The record is from RNAcentral.
AUUGAACGCUGGCGGCAGGCCUAACACAUGCAAGUCGAGCGGAUGAAGGGAGCUUGCUCCUGGAUUCAGCGGCGGACGGGUGAGUAAUGCCUAGGAAUCUGCCUGGUCGUGGGGGAUAACGUCCGGAAACGGGCGCUAAUACCGCAUACGUCCUGAGGGAGAAAGUGGGGGAUCUUCGGACCUCACGCUAUCAGAUGAGCCUAGGUCGGAUUAGCUAGUUGGUGGGGUAAAGGCCUACCAAGGCGACGAUCCGUAACUGGUCUGAGAGGAUGAUCAGUCACACUGGAACUGAGAAACGGUCCAGACUCCUACGGGAGGAAGCAGUGGGGAAUAUUGGACAAUGGGCGAAAGCCUGAUCCAGGCAUGCCGCGUGUGUGAAGAAGGUCUUCGGAUUGUAAAGCACUUUAAGUUGGGAGGAAGGGCAGUAAGUUAAUACCUUGCUGUUUUGACGUUACCAACAGAAUAAGCACCGGCUAACUUCGUG